UGGCUCAGAACGAACGCUGGCGGCAUGCCUAACACAUGCAAGUCGGACGCUCCUUGGGGUUUCGGCCUCUGGGGGAGUGGCGGACGGGUGAGUAGCGCGUGGGAACCUGCCCCUUUGUGGGGGAUAACCGAGGGAAACUUCGGCUAAUACCGCAUGCGCCGGGAGCGAUCCCGGGAAAGAUUUAUCGCAGAGGGAGGGGCCCGCGUCGGAUUAGGUAGUUGGUGGGGUAAGAGCCCACCAAGGCGGGGAUAAGUAGCGGGUCUGAGAGGAUGAUCCGCCACACUGGGACUGUUUCUCGGCCCAGGGACCUACGGGAGGCA
This 320-nucleotide ribosomal RNA is filed under the name uncultured Rhodospirillales bacterium. Its description in RNAcentral is "bacterial SSU rRNA". It matches the Rfam family "Bacterial small subunit ribosomal RNA", at positions 20 to 350 of the family's 1533-position model. The record is from RNAcentral. Lineage: Bacteria; Pseudomonadati; Pseudomonadota; Alphaproteobacteria; Rhodospirillales.